UGUUCCUUCUGGUACAUUUUGAUAAAAUUGGAACGAUAUAGAGAAGAUAAUAAGCAAUAUAGAUCCUGUACAAAGAUCACACUCAACUCUAAAAGAAAGGCACAAAUUUU
This 110-nucleotide small nuclear RNA is filed under the name Solanum lycopersicum (tomato). The record is from RNAcentral. Lineage: Eukaryota; Viridiplantae; Streptophyta; Magnoliopsida; Solanales; Solanaceae.